ACGGAUGUAGCUCAAUGGUAGAGCUAUGGUCUCCAAAACCCAAAAAAAUAGUGAAGAAGGUUCGAUUCCUUCCAUCCGUG
Molecule: transfer RNA, 80 nt
Filed under: marine bacterium AO1-C
Lineage: Bacteria; Pseudomonadati; Bacteroidota; Cytophagia; Cytophagales; Cytophagaceae
Rfam family: tRNA
About the family: Transfer RNA (tRNA) molecules are approximately 80 nucleotides in length. Their secondary structure includes four short double-helical elements and three loops (D, anti-codon, and T loops). Further hydrogen bonds mediate the characteristic L-shaped molecular structure. tRNAs have two regions of fundamental functional importance: the anti-codon, which is responsible for specific mRNA codon recognition, and the 3' end, to which the tRNAs corresponding amino acid is attached (by aminoacyl-tRNA synthetases). tRNAs cope with the degeneracy of the genetic code in two manners: having more than one tRNA (with a specific anti-codon) for a particular amino acid; and 'wobble' base-pairing, i.e. permitting non-standard base-pairing at the 3rd anti-codon position.
Source: Rfam by way of RNAcentral